GGUCUACUCCCUCCGUUUGGAAUUACUCGUAUAAAAAAUGAAUGCAUCUAGAUGUAUUUUAAUUGUAGAUACAUUCAUUUUAUCCAUUUUUGUGACAAGUAAUUUGAAACGGAGGGAGUAUAAG
Triticum aestivum (bread wheat) is the source of this 124-nucleotide non-coding RNA. Lineage: Eukaryota; Viridiplantae; Streptophyta; Magnoliopsida; Poales; Poaceae. The record is from Rfam.